This 77-nucleotide transfer RNA is filed under the name Thiomicrorhabdus marina. Its description in RNAcentral is "tRNA-Pro". It matches the Rfam family "tRNA". Rfam says of the family: Transfer RNA (tRNA) molecules are approximately 80 nucleotides in length. Their secondary structure includes four short double-helical elements and three loops (D, anti-codon, and T loops). Lineage: Bacteria; Pseudomonadati; Pseudomonadota; Gammaproteobacteria; Thiotrichales; Piscirickettsiaceae. The record is from RNAcentral.
CGGAGUGUAGCGCAGUCUGGUAGCGCAGCAGUCUGGGGGACUGUUGGUCGUCGGUUCAAAUCCGGCCUCUCCGACCA